GGAGGUCACUGCUAUUGGGAUUCGACUAAGCCAUGCGAGUCGAGAGGGUUCGGCCCUCGGCGAACUGCUCAGUAACACGUGGAUAAUUUGCCCUUAGGUGGAGGAUAAUCUCGGGAAACUGAGAAUAAUACUCCAUAGAUCUAGGAUGCUGGAAUGCACUUAGAUCGAAAGUUCCGGCGCCUAAGGAUGAGUCUGCGGACUAUCAGGUUGUAGUCAGGGUAAAGACCUGACUAGCCUACGACGGAUACGGGUUGUGAGAGCAAUAACCCGGAGAUGAUAUCUGAGACACGAUAUCAGGCCCUACGGGGCGCAGCAGGCGCGAAAACUUCACACUGUGCGAAAGCACGAUGAGGGAAUCCCAAGUGCUUGCACGUAAGUGUAAGCUGUUUUUCUGUUUAAAAUGCAGAGAGAGUAAGGGCUGGGUAAGACGGGUGCCAGCCGCCGCGGUAAUACCUGCAGCUCAAGUGGUGACCGUUAUUAUUGGGCCUAAAACGUCCGUAGCCUGUCUAUUAAAUGCCUGGGUAAAUCGUGUAGCUUAACUAUACGAAUUCCGGGUAGACUGAUAGGCUUGAGACCGGGAGAGGCUAGAGGUACUCCUGGGGUAGGGGUGAAAUCCUGUAAUCCUGGGGGGACCACCAGUGGCGAAGGCGUCUAGCUAGAACGGGUCUGACGGUGAGGGACGAAGCCCUGGGGCGCAAACCGGAUUAGAUACCCGGGUAGUCCAGGGUGUAAACGCUGCUUGCUUGAUGUUAGUCGGGCUCCGAGCCCGAUUAGUGUCNGANA
RNAcentral lists this ribosomal RNA (783 nucleotides) under uncultured archaeon. RNAcentral's name for it is "bacterial SSU rRNA". It matches the Rfam family "Archaeal small subunit ribosomal RNA", at positions 19 to 807 of the family's 1478-position model. The record is from RNAcentral.